RNAcentral lists this ribosomal RNA (330 nucleotides) under uncultured bacterium. RNAcentral's name for it is "bacterial SSU rRNA". It matches the Rfam family "Bacterial small subunit ribosomal RNA", at positions 335 to 655 of the family's 1533-position model. The record is from RNAcentral.
ACUCCUACGGGAGGCAGCAGUGGGGAANAUUUGCACAAUGGGCGCAAGCCUGAUGCAGCCAUGCCGCGUGUAUGAAGAAGGCCUUCGGGUUGUAAAGUACUUUCAGCAGUGAGGAAGGUAGUGUAGUUAAUAGCUGCAUUAUUUGACGUUAGCUGCAGAAGAAGCACCGGCUAACUCCGUGCCAGCAGCCGCGGUAAUACGGAGGGUGCGAGCGUUAAUCGGAAUUACUGGGGCGUAAAGCGCAUGCAGGUGGUUUGUUAAGUCAGAUGUGAAAGCCCGGGGCUCAACCUCGGAAUUGCAUUUGAAACUGGCAGACUAGAGUACUGUAGA